UACAGAGGUCCCAAGCGUUGUUCGGAUUUACUGGGCGUAAAGGGCGCGUAGGCGGCAAUUCAAGUCAGCUGUGAAAUCUCCGGGCUUAACUCGGAACGGUCAGCUGAUACUGCUUUGCUAGAGUGCGGAAGGGGCAAUCGGAAUUCUCGGUGUAGCGGUGAAAUGCGUAGAUAUCGAGAGGAACACCUGAGGUGAAGACGGGUUGCUGGGCCGACACUGACGCUGACAGCGCGAAAGCCAGGGGAGCAAACGGG
RNAcentral lists this ribosomal RNA (254 nucleotides) under uncultured bacterium. RNAcentral's name for it is "partial 16S ribosomal RNA". It matches the Rfam family "Bacterial small subunit ribosomal RNA", at positions 524 to 776 of the family's 1533-position model. The record is from RNAcentral.